AAAAAAUUAGUUAAAUAAUAACAAAAGUCUGUCAGUCUUUAAUUACUAUAAUAGUAGUAUUUUUUA
RNAcentral lists this transfer RNA (66 nucleotides) under Callochiton steinenii. Its description in RNAcentral is "tRNA-Asp". The record is from RNAcentral. Lineage: Eukaryota; Metazoa; Mollusca; Polyplacophora; Chitonida; Callochitonidae.